GCGCCUCGCCGUCGAGCUUCCGCAUCGCUUGGAUCGAGCGCCGCUAUCAGGACGGCUCGCUGGCCUCCACCGAACGCUGGUCAGCCAUCCUCACCGUCAUUGUACAGCCGCCGCGCGACGCNNNNNNNNNNCCUCGGAAUCUACAUCAACGCCAUCAACUGGUCGAAGGAGCUUGGACAAUGACGCCCGCACUCCGCAAAGCCGCCCCCUGGAGUGCAGGGCGUCCGGCUUUCCUCAUCAAC
Molecule: unclassified non-coding RNA, 242 nt
Filed under: Hevea brasiliensis (rubber tree)
Lineage: Eukaryota; Viridiplantae; Streptophyta; Magnoliopsida; Malpighiales; Euphorbiaceae
Source: RNAcentral